UUUUAAAAUACAGGUCAUGAUAAAAUAAGGUUAGAAGUCCUUUCCAAAUGAAGAGUUAUCUAAACUAAGAACUAGUAGAAGUCCUAAGAACUCGGAGCUGGGUCUUCUUUAGUCUCCAACGCUUGCUCCAAAGGCCUCAUAAUCAGCUUCUGCUCACAUCCAAAGAUUUGGAUGAUUAUCGCAAGGGGAAAAUCACACACAUACAAAACACACAAUCGCAAGGGUAAGCUAGGUAAGCAUGUUAUCAAUCAAGUAUUUCAAGCAUGUAAGGACCAUGACACCAUACAAACUAUGACCAAAUGCAUUUUGUUGAUAAUAAUGACCGACCACGUGAUUUAACCAUCCAGACUAGUAUGAAAUGUCGAGUUCCA
This 371-nucleotide long non-coding RNA is filed under the name Vigna radiata. RNAcentral's name for it is "long non-coding RNA (VRAD_LNC006133)". Lineage: Eukaryota; Viridiplantae; Streptophyta; Magnoliopsida; Fabales; Fabaceae. The record is from RNAcentral.